RNAcentral lists this ribosomal RNA (403 nucleotides) under soil bacterium 02G-01. RNAcentral describes it as "bacterial SSU rRNA". It matches the Rfam family "Bacterial small subunit ribosomal RNA", at positions 24 to 457 of the family's 1533-position model. The record is from RNAcentral.
UCAGAACGAACGCUGGCGGCAGGCUUAACACAUGCAAGUCGAGCGCCCCGCAAGGGGAGCGGCAGACGGGUGAGUAACGCGUGGGAAUCUACCCAUCUCUACGGAACAACUCCGGGAAACUGGAGCUAAUACCGUAUACGUCCUUUUGGAGAAAGAUUUAUCGGAGAUGGAUGAGCCCGCGUUGGAUUAGCUAGUUGGUGGGGUAAUGGCCUACCAAGGCGACGAUCCAUAGCUGGUCUGAGAGGAUGAUCAGCCACACUGGGACUGAGACNCGGCCCAGACUCCUACGGGAGGCAGCAGUGGGGAAUAUUGGACAAUGGGCGAAAGCCUGAUCCAGCCAUGCCGCGUGAGUGAUGAAGGCCCUAGGGUUGUAAAGCUCUUUCAACGGUGAAGAUAAUGACGG